AUUGAACGCUGGCGGCAGGCCUAACACAUGCAAGUCGAACGAGUGGCGGACGGGUGAGUAAUGUCUGGGAAACUGCCUGAGGGAGGGGGAUAACUACUGGAAACGGUAGCUAAUACCGCAUACCAUCGGAUGUGCCCAGAGGGGAUUAGCUAGUAGGUGGGGUAACGGCUCACCUAGGCGACGAUCCCUAGCUGGUCUGAGAGGAUGACCAGCCACACUGGAACUGCACAACGGUCCAGACUCCUACGGGAGGCAGCAGUGGGGAAUAUUGGACAAUGGGCGCAAGCCGGAUGCAGCCAUGCCGCGUGUAUGAAGAAGGCCUUCGGGUUGUAAAGUACUUUCAGCGAGGAGGCGUUACUCGCAGAAGAAGCACCGGCUAACUCAGUGCCAGCAGCCGCGGUAAUUC
This 406-nucleotide ribosomal RNA is filed under the name uncultured bacterium. Its description in RNAcentral is "partial 16S ribosomal RNA". It matches the Rfam family "Bacterial small subunit ribosomal RNA", at positions 30 to 526 of the family's 1533-position model. The record is from RNAcentral.